UACGUAGGGUGCGAGCGUUAAUCGGAAUUACUGGGCGUAAAGCGUGCGCAGGCGGUUUUGUAAGUCUGUCGUGAAAUCCCCGGGCUCAACCUGGGAAUUGCGAUGGAGACUGCAAGGCUAGAAUCUGGCAGAGGGGGGUAGAAUUCCACGUGUAGCAGUGAAAUGCGUAGAGAUGUGGAGGAACACCGAUGGCGAAGGCAGCCCCCUGGGUAAAGAUUGACGCUCAUGCACGAAAGCGUGGGGAGCAAACAGG
Molecule: ribosomal RNA, 253 nt
Filed under: uncultured bacterium
Lineage: Bacteria
Description: partial 16S ribosomal RNA
Rfam family: Bacterial small subunit ribosomal RNA
Source: RNAcentral